UACAGAGACUGCAAGCGUUAUUCGGAUUCACUGGGCGUAAAGGGUGCGCAGGCGGCCAAGUGUGUCAGGUGUGAAAUCCCGAGGCUUAACCUCGGAACUGCGCCUGAAACUACUUGGCUAGAGUACUGGAGAGGAGAUUGGAAUUUACGGUGUAGCAGUGAAAUGCGUAGAUAUCGUAAGGAAGACCAGUGGCGAAGGCGAAUCUCUGGACAGUUACUGACACUGAGGCACGAAGGCCAGGGGAGCAAACGGG
RNAcentral lists this ribosomal RNA (253 nucleotides) under uncultured bacterium. Its description in RNAcentral is "partial 16S ribosomal RNA". It matches the Rfam family "Bacterial small subunit ribosomal RNA", at positions 524 to 776 of the family's 1533-position model. The record is from RNAcentral.